ACGAACGCUGGCGGCGUGCUUAACACAUGCACGUCGAACGGAAAGGCCCUGCUUUUGUGGGGUGCUCGAGUGGCGAACGGGUGAGUAACACGUGAGUAACCUGCCCUUGACUUUGGGAUAACUUCAGGAAACUGGGGCUAAUACCGGAUAGGAGCUCCUGCUACAUGGUGGGGGUUGGAAAGUUUCGGCGGUUGGGGAUGGACUCGCGGCUUAUCAGCUUGUUGGUGGGGUAGUGGCUUACCAAGGCUUUGACGGGUAGCCGGCCUGAGAGGGUGACCGGCCACAUUGGGACUGAGAUACGGCCCAGACUCCUACGGGAGGCAGCAGUGGGGAAUAUUGCACAAUGGGCGGAAGCCUGAUGCAGCAACGCCGCGUGCGGGAUGACGGCCUUCGGGUUGUAAACCGCUUUCGCCUGUGACGAAGCGUGAGUGACGGUAAUGGGUAAAGAAGCACCGGCUAACUACGUG
This 467-nucleotide ribosomal RNA is filed under the name uncultured bacterium. Its description in RNAcentral is "partial 16S ribosomal RNA". It matches the Rfam family "Bacterial small subunit ribosomal RNA", at positions 29 to 507 of the family's 1533-position model. The record is from RNAcentral.